This is an RNA transcript of Nymphaea colorata (pocket water lily), 2610 nucleotides long. It is a transcript of the gene named sphingoid long-chain bases kinase 2, mitochondrial-like, with no coding region annotated. The record is from RefSeq and is a predicted model, not a curated record. NCBI's taxonomy places the organism in Eukaryota, Viridiplantae, Streptophyta, Magnoliopsida, Nymphaeales, Nymphaeaceae. The transcript has 7 exons.
GUUGAAUCUUAUUCCUGUCAGAUUUGACUUCAAUUUCGGGUCUGGAUUUAAAAGUAAAACUGUGAUUGGGAAGCAUGUAUGCUGAUUUCUUUUUUUAACUACUUAUAUUGAUAUGUGGUAAAGGUAGAAAAAGCUAACAUUUGGACGCCGCCUGGACGCCAUUAAUAAAAAUGUUUAACGGAAAUCACCAAACUAAGCAACCCUUGAUGCGGUCCGCAUGCGGUCCCUUGUUUUUUAAACUUUUCCCUCGGUCUUUUUUUCUCUCUUUGAUCUUGAAAAGGGCAAGAACGCGGUCUGUUCCCUCUCCCUCGCUUUUUAAAAUUGUCCCUCGUCAGUUCUCUCUCUUAAGGCCUGUGAAGAAUUAACGGGUAAAUUUACCAUGGUAAAUUUUUUCUCCCUCUUCCAAUCUAAGGCCCUAUUUGAUGCACAGGAAGAAUUUAACAUGGUAAAUUUAACCAUGUUUGAUGAUGCACAAAGUAGAAAAAUGGGGAGAAUUUUUUCAAAACUAGUUGGCUUCCGUAGGAAUAUAUAUACGUGCUUAUAGUUUGGAAACCUGAAUUUAAGAAUCAAAUUUGUUGGAUAUGUGAAUCAACAUAUAGCCCUUUCUAUAUGUCAAAGCCCCAAAAUAAUGUGAACCUAACAACAGAAAUAUUAGAUAAGGAUUAAAAUCAAUUUAAAGAAACUGUAUGUAUGAAGAAACAAUAGUGGCUCUGCAACUAACAUAACUUCUACGCGGAUCUCCGUAGGCAUUCUACAAUUAAACAAUAUGGUGAUACAGAAUUGAGAACAGAAGCAGAACCCUAAAUCAAGCCAACAUGGCAUUCAAAAGAUAAUCAACUAUGGAAUCUAGAGGCAAUUCUGAUGAGAAAGACAAUCAGCACAUGCAGCAUCAAAACAAUAUGAAGAUGUGGGGGCAUCUACUGGAGAAGCCAAAAAACAAAGAAAGAGUCUCCAUUUGGGCGUUUCUGAAAGUGAACAACAGGACCACGACAGAAUUUUUUUUCCUCCUGAAAGAAAUUCUAGAAUGACGAACAAAACGGUGGAAAACAAAACCAGAAAGAGGCAUAAUGCAAUUAAAGAGACAAACCCUUCUAUUAACGUUGCUCAGUCCAGCAAGCGGUAUCAACGAGAAACCGUGGAGACUUAGAGGCGGAAGAAGACGACUACCAACAGUGUCUGGUUGAAUUCUUUGUGGGGGCAAGUUUCCUCUAGCAAUUUUUCUCUGUGGUAGCGAAGGAAGUGAACCAUUUGACUCUCGCUUCUUCAGCUCACAUGCAGCCAUAGCAGCAGCAACCCGGGAGGAAUGAUCACCGCCAUUCAGUUGAGAGACAUCAGGGAGCCUUUGAAUUGUUCGUUGAGAUGGAGAGAGUGAGAGAGGAGAGGAACGAGAGACCGAGAGAGGAAAGGGGAAGAGGCAACACAGGGAAAAGACGAGAGAAAACAGGAUAAGAUGGAGAGAGCAAUAGAACUGCGAGAGGAGAGGAACGAGAACCUGAGGAGAAGAGAGGGGAAGAGGGUGUUGACGGGAGGGGAAAGCAGCAAUAAAGGGGAAGAUGGCAUCCACGGUUGGGGAAACCAGCAAAGAGGGGAAGAUGGGCUUCAACGGGUGGGGAAACCAGCAAGAGCAUAGGGGAGCGUGGAUGACGGGAGGGCAGAGGGGAGCGUCGUAGGGCAGAGGGGAAGAUGGGCUUCAACGGCUCGCCGUCCGUCCAGCUUGUCCGAUCACUGAUCCUUGCAUCUAGCCCUCUCUAUGGCAGGGAAGGGCUGCACCGACAAUCAGGCAGUGAAGAAAACGUCGUCUGCAAAAUCCGGUAGUGAGUUCCGGUGCUCACUCCUUUGUUUCCUCAGGCGAUAUCUCGGCGGUAGAGUUUUGGCGCCACGAACCUCGCGGCAGGGGCUUUGACGCGGGAGAACCAAAAGCGACGUGCCGUUGAGCGGGUGAAAUUUCGCCCGCUCAAAAGUCCGACCUCACAGGUCGGACUUUUGAGCAGGUGAACUUUCACCCGUCCGCUUUAACGAGAAACGGGUGAAAAAGUUCACCCCGUUUGAUAAGCCGUGAGUACGGGCAGCAAUGGAGAUCAUGUUUUUCCUAUCAAUGGAGAUUCUGGUUUCUGCCAUCCGAUCGAAUCUGCAAUGAAGGUGAUGGUCGAGUCAUCUGAAUGAAGCAGCAAAUCAAGGUUCACGGGAGAUCCAGCAAUGGUCCACCGGAAAAUCAGAAUCAUCUUUUGAUUCGCCAGGGACGAGUUCAACCUCUCCAAGGCCAAGGCCAAGACUGGGUACUCCAAGAGAGUGAAGGCUCAAAUCUGUGAUGUCGCUGGCUCUGAGAGGCUUUGCCGAACCAGAGCAAGUUGAUUAUCCAAACUUCAAACUGGUCAUUGUUGGUGAUGGCGGAACUGGCGAUCAAAGAGGGAAUGGAUGCUGUAAUAGCUGUUGGUGGUGAUGGUACGCGGACCUUACGGUUGUGAAUGGCUUCUUUUGGGAUGGAAAGCCUGUCCUGGCAAAGGCCAAGGUGAUAAAUGCAAAACUGCCCUUGGGUUGAUUCCACUGGGAACUGGAUCUGAUUUUGCAAGAACUUUUGGUUGGAAGAACGACCCUAAUCAAGCUAUUGAU